This is a long non-coding RNA of Scylla paramamosain (green mud crab), 3051 nucleotides long. RefSeq lists it as uncharacterized. NCBI's taxonomy places the organism in Eukaryota, Metazoa, Arthropoda, Malacostraca, Decapoda, Portunidae. The record is from RefSeq and is a predicted model, not a curated record. The transcript is spliced from 7 exons.
UGUCGUGGUGGAAGAGUUGGUAGCCCUGCACAUGUCCAUCCGAGAAUUACGUCACAGGUGGGCACAAGCCGCAGUCAUUCGCCGGCGCCUCCCUGCAGUCUCAGGUAGCAGCGGCGAUGCGUAGUGCUGUUGCUUUGUACUGAGUGAGCGUGAAUGAACCCUCGUGACGAUAUAUGGUGAUGGACGUGUGGGCCUUUACGUUGUGGAAAUAGAAGAUUGGGCAGACACGCAGGCAUAACUUGGUGCUGAUUGGACGAUAACGAUAACGGCAUUACUAACGGAAGAAUAUAGAGAGGGAAAAUUUGAAGAGAAGAUUAAACGGAAGGACGGGAAAAGCAGGAAGGUCCGAAAAACAAGUAUAAAGUGCAGAGAGCAGAGAAGAGAACAGCAACAAAGAGGCCCUCGUCAUCUCUCACAGCCGUUCCCUGCUGGAAAAAACAAUGAAUGGGAGAGAGAAAAAAAAAAUAGAUGGUUUUUGAAAUAAGUGGAGAUGGGUAAGGUACACGAGGUUGCUUUCGUUUUCCUCUCUCUGUUUCGUCUCAUCAGUGGCGCAGAUUCAUCAACGCCAAGCCAGAUAAACAUCACACCAGCUUUGCAAACCCAUCUGUUUUACAUCCUGCCGCCAGCUCCCCUCCGUGUUAAAACAUUGGAUUCGAGUCGAGGGCCCCAUUUCUGUACAUUUCUGGCAACAGGCUGGAUCAGCAGAGGAGCCGACACCGCACAGCUCGGCGCUCUUCCCCUGUGCCUGAGCAACACUGCGCUGACACGUCUGUCCGAUGCAGGGAGGAGACAGCAAGCGAGAGGCGAGGCUUGGCGGAGUUUUGACAUGCUAAGCAGUUAGUGUUCUUAAUAAGGAUCCAUGUCGGGGCAUCAUGAGAGAAAACAGCUUGUAUGCUGUCAUACGGACGCGGCGCUCACAACUUGGAAUCUCAAACAAGCCUCUCCCACACCCACCUCUAAUAUCUUCCACCACUGUGACAGAGAGAGAGAGAGAGAGAGAGAGAGAGAGAGAGAGAGAGAGAGAGAGAGAGAGAUUAGAUUAGAUUAGAUUAAAUUGUUUAUUAUCCACCAAAGUGGUUGUUACACAUUUUACAAGUAGUCAAGUAUACAAAUAUGAUUUAAUACCAGUGAUAUUUAACAAUGUAAAUACAAUAAAGUUGAGGAUCACUCGUCUAUAAUAGAUGCACCACAAAAAUGCUAAGUUAACGUACAUACACUGGUACACUUACAAUGAAAACAUCAAGGUGAAACAAACCUAACUAAAUAUAUUUUUGGUUAUUUUAUUUAUUUAUUUUAUUUUAUUUUUUUCAAGUCCAGCCUUAAAAGAGUUUAUAGAUGUGUCCUGUGUGAGGGAGAGCGAGAGAGAGUUCCACACUGUGGUUCCCAAUAUGACAGUGCGCCUAUCAGCAGAGAGUGUGUAGGUGGCCGGUACAAGCAACCUGUGCCUGUGUCUUGUGACGCUACUGGUGAUGGCUUGCCUGUUACAUAGUGAUAAAAACUAUUUUGGAUGAAACCCUCGUAAAAUCUUAAAUAUUGUUGUAGCCACUUGUAAAACAUGUUUGUGCUUUAUUCGUAGCCAUUGGAGUUCUUUAUAAAAUGGAGACACGUGAUCAUAUUUCUUAACUCCACCUAUGGCAACCCUUACUGCAGCAUUCUGUAACUUUUGCACACCAGACAUUAAUGCAUCAUUUGUAGUCCCCAUAUUCUAAUACAACAGUUAAUUAAGGUUAAUACAAGGGCCUGUGUCACCAUGAUCCUGCUGUCCUUAUCUGUGUUUUCACUAAUUCAACUUACAUACAUUAAAAUACCCACCACUUUCCUUUUCAGCUCAUUAAUAUGGACGUCAAAAAGCAAGUAACUAUCCAAGCAAACUCACAAGUUUUUCACGUGCUUACUUGGAUGUAUUACAUUUCCAUUAACAUUCACAGUCGUGUUUGGGGGAGUGUGAGAUAAAAGCUGGCGAUUACCUAUAAAAACACACUGAGUCUUGCAAGAAUUAAACAUGAGACCAUUGUUUAGUUACAACAUCGGGAUCACCAUUUUUAUACAGGGGGACAACCAGUGCAUGUUUCCAUGACUCGGGGAACACGCCAGUCACCAAGGACAUGUUGAUGAUACAGCUGAGGAGAGGACAGUGACACAGAGCGCAUCCCGGACAAACUUUAAUGCUAUUCCGUCCGACCCGAUGGAGUUGGUUACAUCGAGGUCUUUAACGGUUAAGAUAAGGGUGUCAGCGUCCACGGGCUCAGGUCUACAAGCAGAGUUCACUUUAAUGGUAUUUACUUGAGGAUGAUGAACAGUUACUACUACCCCUUCACUUCUUAGUUCUUCCUGAGAACGUCUGAAAGUAGUCUCCCCAACAUUUGAAAAGAAUUUAUUGAAGUCAGUUUUUCAUUUACGUUACCAAAAUUGUGAGUAUCAUGUUUUUUUUUUUUUCUGAUUAGGAAUAAUUUCCUCAGUAACUUUCCAUGUUGCAGAGAUAUUUCCUUUACAAUCUUUUAGACGACCUUGAUAAUGCUCUGCCUUAGAGGUAUUAAUGAGUGCUUUGAUAUGCUUUAGCAGCUUUAUAACGUUCCCUCAAUCCAACGUUAUUUGUACCGACUUUUAACUCUCUUUGCAACCUAUUACGUUCCUCCUUUGCCUCACGAACAUCGCCACUCAUCCAUGGUGCUGGUGUGCCUUUCACAGCUUUAGUCACAACAGGGGCACACACAUCAAGAGGAAAACUAAAAACCUCAUUAAAAAUAUACACUUGUUUGUUAAGGUCGUCAGUUAAAAACACAUUAUUGAUACAAUACACAUUGUAUAAAAGCAGCAAACAGAAAGUGUCUUUAUCACAGUGCUUCAGAUCAGGGAGGCUUUUUAUCACCGGUAUUUUGCGAGGUUUUCUUACAUUUAUAGCGACGGACACGAGAUCAUGAUCUGCAAUUAACUGAGGGACCACGUCAAGGGAUAAAACUACCUCAGGUUUAUUAGUGAUAAUAAGAUCCAGUAGAGUAGCUCAAUGUCAGGUUUUUCUUGUGGGUUUAUCAAUAAAACUGAAUCAACUUA